This 75-nucleotide transfer RNA is filed under the name Rhodospirillaceae bacterium. Its description in RNAcentral is "tRNA-Val". It matches the Rfam family "tRNA". From Rfam's summary of the family: Transfer RNA (tRNA) molecules are approximately 80 nucleotides in length. Their secondary structure includes four short double-helical elements and three loops (D, anti-codon, and T loops). The record is from RNAcentral. Lineage: Bacteria; Pseudomonadati; Pseudomonadota; Alphaproteobacteria; Rhodospirillales; Rhodospirillaceae.
GGGCGCGUAGCUCAGCGGUAGAGCACUACGUUGACAUCGUAGGGGUCGCUGGUUCAAUCCCAGCCGCGCCCACCA